CGGGAUAGCUCAGCUUGUAGAGCAGACUGA
RNAcentral lists this transfer RNA (30 nucleotides) under Frangula alnus (alder buckthorn). Its description in RNAcentral is "partial transfer RNA-Phe". The record is from RNAcentral. Lineage: Eukaryota; Viridiplantae; Streptophyta; Magnoliopsida; Rosales; Rhamnaceae.